GUUUGAUCCUGGCUCAGGAUGAACGCUAGCGACAGGCUUAACACAUGCAAGUCGAGGGGCAGCGGGAUUUUAGCAAUAAGAUUGCCGGCGACCGGCGCACGGGUGAGUAACGCGUAUGAAACCUGCCUUCUACAGGGGCACAGGCCGUUGAAAGACGGAUUAAUUCCCCAUGUAACAGAGAUACCUCCUGGUAUUUUUGUAAAAGGUAUUUUCCGGUAGGAGAUGGUCAUGCGUUCCAUUAGCUAGUUGGGAGGGUAACGGCCUGCCAAGGCGACGAUGGAUAGGGGAACUGAGAGGUUUGUCCCCCACACCGGUACUGAGACACGGACCGGACUCCUACGGGAGGCAGCAGUGAGGAAUAUUGGUCAAUGGGCGGUAGCCUGAACCAGCCAAGUCGCGUGAAGGAAGACGGUAUUAUGUAUUGUAAACUUCUUUUGCAGGGGAUUAAAGUUCCGGACGGGUCCGGAUUUGCAAGUACCCUGCGAAUAAGCAUCGGCUAACUCCGUGCCAGCAGCCGCGGUAAUACGGAGGAUGCGAGCGUUAUCCGGAUUUAUUGGGUUUAAAGGGUGCGUAGGCGGGGAUUUAAGUCAGCGGUGAAAUGUCGGAGCUCAACUCCGUUCCGUGCCGUUGAAACUGGGUUCCUUGAGAGAAGACGAGGUAGGCGGAAUUCGGGGUGUAGCGGUGAAAUGCAUAGAUAUCCCGAAGAACACCGACAGCGCAGGCAGCUUACCAGACUUUUGCUGACGCUGAAGCACGAAAGUGUGGGUAUCAAACAGGAUUAGAUACCCUGGUAGUCCACACAGUAAACGAUGAUCACUCGCUGUUUGCGAUAUAUAGCAAGGGGCCAAGCGAAAGCGUUAAGUGAUCCACCUGGGGAGUACGCCGGCAACGGUGAAACUCAAAGGAAUUGACGGGGGCCCGCACAAGCGGAGGAACAUGUGGUUUAAUUCGAUGAUACGCGAGGAACCUUACCCGGGCUUGAAAUGCAUCUGAAUAAUGAUGAAAGUUAUUAGCCGUUUACGGCAGAUGUGUAGGUGCUGCAUGGUUGUCGUCAGCUCGUGCCGUGAGGUGUCGGCUUAAGUGCCAUAACGAGCGCAACCCUUAUCUUCAGUUACCAUCGGGUUAUGCCGGGGACUCUGGAGGGACUGCCUCCGCAAGGAGCGAGGAAGGGGGGGAUGACGUCAAAUCAGCACGGCCCUUACGUCCGGGGCGACACACGUGUUACAAUGGGCGGCACAGCGGGAAGCUACCGGGCGACCGGAUGCGAAUCCCGAAAGCCGUUCUCAGUUCGGAUCGGAGUCUGCAACCCGACUCCGUGAAGCCGGAUUCGCUAGUAAUCGCGCAUCAGCCAUGGCGCGGUGAAUACGUUCCCGGGCCUUGUACACACCGCCCGUC
This 1395-nucleotide ribosomal RNA is filed under the name uncultured bacterium. RNAcentral's name for it is "16S ribosomal RNA". It matches the Rfam family "Bacterial small subunit ribosomal RNA". The record is from RNAcentral.